GACGAACGCUGGCGGCGUGCUUAACACAUGCAAGUCGUACGGUAAGGCCCUUUCUGGGGUACACGAGUGGCGAACGGGUGAGUAACACGUGAGUAACCUGCCCACCACUUUGGGAUAACGCUAGGAAACUGGUGCUAAUACUGGAUAUGUGCUCCUGCUGCAUGGUGGGGGUUGGAAAGCUCCGGCGGUUGUGGAUGGACUCGCGGCCUAUCAGCUUGUUGGUGGGGUAGUGGCCUACCAAGGCGGCGACGGGUAGCCGGCCUGAGAGGGUGAGCGGCCACAUUGGGACUGAGAUACGGCCCAGACUCCUACGGGAGGCAGCAGUGGGGAAUAUUGCACAAUGGGCGCAAGCCUGAUGCAGCAACGCCGCGUGCGGGAUGACGGCCUUCGGGUUGUAAACCGCUUUCAGCAGGGACGAAGCUUUUUGUGACGGUACCUGCAGAAGAAGCACCGGCUAACUACGUG
Molecule: ribosomal RNA, 465 nt
Filed under: uncultured bacterium
Lineage: Bacteria
Description: partial 16S ribosomal RNA
Rfam family: Bacterial small subunit ribosomal RNA
Source: RNAcentral